Non-coding RNA from Epinephelus lanceolatus (giant grouper), 247 nucleotides. The record is from RefSeq and is a predicted model, not a curated record. Lineage: Eukaryota; Metazoa; Chordata; Actinopteri; Perciformes; Serranidae.
UUCAUCAUCACAGUUGGUGUUUUAUCAGCAGCACUAUUCUGUGCUCUUCUGUUUGCUAUCAGAGCUCGGGGGACUGGCUGCCAUACUCCUAAAAAGAGUCAGAGCACAGGUGACACCAGCCCAGCUGUGAUGAGUCAAGGCCUGACAACUGAAAAUGGAAAUAAGGUGUCCUGCACAUCAGAAGAGGAUAUUUAUGUCAACACCGAUAUGAUGAAAAAGUCAGAUAUGCCAAACGCUCAUCUAGCAC